Molecule: long non-coding RNA, 916 nt
Organism: Pseudophryne corroboree (corroboree frog)
Lineage: Eukaryota; Metazoa; Chordata; Amphibia; Anura; Myobatrachidae
Exons: 2
Source: RefSeq, a predicted model, not a curated record
UCCGCACUGCGCAUGCGUGAGCGCGAAAAUGUCAGAGGGUGACAUGAUGUCAUGACGCUUGACAUCAUGUUACCUAAACGCCCGCCACCGCGGGUUGUCAGUAGCGGUGGCUGUUCUGCAGAGAGAGCCGGGGGCGGGGCAGUCUGUGGAGGAGGAGACAACAGCAGCGGCGGGGUCUGGCUCAGCAUGUAGCAGAAGGCAGUAAGAGGAAGGAUGUCCUUGCCUCCCUCAAGGAAGUUUCCUGGAGCCCUGCACCGGAGCCCUGACAUUCCCCAGUGGGUCACCCCCACCUUCUAUAUGAAUGGACGCUGUGUUAAUGUUUAUCGUUACCAUCCGUUGCCAUGACCAUAUUCCACAAACAAAAUGUGUUGAAAUCUCCGGAUUCGUCUGUGGAACGUGGUGGAACGCAUUCAUUUCCGCUUCCUGUUACUACCGGAAGUUAUGUAACACACUGAAUACAUCGAACAGCAUGUGGAACGCAUAUACGUAACUUCCGGUUAAUACCGGAAGUGAUGUAGCGCAAUUCUUACUGAACUUUUUUUUAACUGUAUACGACGAUUGGUUCUUUUGAAUACUGGCGCCCUUUUGCUGGCAGGUGGGGGUGUUACCCAUACAUCACUAUGUUAAUGAAUAGUGCUAUAAAUAUAUCAACUGUCUGUAUACCACCAUGCUUCUGAAGAAGGACCUGCUGGUCCGAAACGCGUUAAGCUGGUGGAUUCUUUUAUGCUGAGACUGGACAUUUUCCCCUCCUGGUAACUCUACAGGGACUUUGGCUUGUAUGAAUUUAGGAUCGGCUGGUUCCGCUCUUUUAUCUUCGUAAGAGUCGUCAAUUCCCACAGGAGGUUCUAUGUGCCUUUUAUGCUUGUAUUAAAUGUGAGUGUAUUUGUUAUGAAUAAAUUGAUGUGCUUUUAAGAAA